CUUGUGCACAUUAUUUAAAAAUCAGUUCAUGCUGGGCAUGGUGGCUCAUGCAUGUAAUCUCAGCACUUUGGGAGAGAAGGUUGCAGUGAACUGAGAUCGCGCCACUGCACACCAGCCUGGGCGACAGAGCGAGACUCUGUCUCAAAAAAUAAAAUAAAAUGAAAUAAAAUAAAAUAAAAUAAAAAAUAAAUAAAAUAAAUCAUCAGUUCAUGUGGCCACUUUCCCUCUCCCUUUCCUUCACAUAUUAUUUCCAAUUGUUCAGUAGAGAUACUGCCUAUUAUCACCUUAUAACCACUUUCCCUUCAAGAGACUAUCUCUGGCAUCUUACCUACCUUUUCUUCGAAUUUUAGGAACUCUGUACUCCAAUUCUCUAUAUUCCGGCUUUGUUCCAUAUUCCUCUUCCUGCUUAUUAGUCUGCCAGCUAUCAUUUACAAAACAACCACUUUGUAUCAGACACUAAGAACAUAAAGUAAUUCCAGUCUCUGCCCUCAAGAAGAUUACAUUACGGUGGC
This 512-nucleotide non-coding RNA is filed under the name Pan troglodytes (chimpanzee). Lineage: Eukaryota; Metazoa; Chordata; Mammalia; Primates; Hominidae. The record is from RNAcentral.